Molecule: non-coding RNA, 23 nt
Filed under: Cricetulus griseus (Chinese hamster)
Lineage: Eukaryota; Metazoa; Chordata; Mammalia; Rodentia; Cricetidae
Source: RNAcentral
AUCUUGAAGAUUGUGCCCACAGU